Molecule: ribosomal RNA, 366 nt
Filed under: unidentified activated sludge bacterium AI383
Lineage: Bacteria
Description: bacterial SSU rRNA
Rfam family: Bacterial small subunit ribosomal RNA
Source: RNAcentral
GAUGCAACGCGAAAAACCUUACCCACCUUUGACAUGUACGGAAUCCUUUAGAGAUAGAGGAGUGCUCGAAAGAGAGCCGUAACACAGGUGCUGCAUGGCUGUCGUCAGCUCGUGUCGUGAGAUGUUGGGUUAAGUCCCGCAACGAGCGCAACCCUUGUCAUUAGUUGCUACAUUCAGUUGGGCACUCUAAUGAGACUGCCGGUGACAAACCGGAGGAAGGUGGGGAUGACGUCAAGUCCUCAUGGCCCUUAUAGGUGGGGCUACACACGUCAUACAAUGGAUGGUACAAAGGGUCGCCAACCCGCGAGGGGGAGCCAAUCCCAUAAAGCCAUUCGUAGUCCGGAUCGCAGUCUGCAACUCGACUGC